Molecule: transfer RNA, 70 nt
Filed under: Zonosaurus sp. TMT-2004a
Lineage: Eukaryota; Metazoa; Chordata; Lepidosauria; Squamata; Gerrhosauridae
Description: tRNA-Glu
Source: RNAcentral
UAGAAAAACAGGUAUCGAACCUGCACCUAAGGGCCCAAAACCCUCUGCACUCCCAAUUAUACUAUUUCCU